This 460-nucleotide ribosomal RNA is filed under the name uncultured bacterium. RNAcentral's name for it is "partial 16S ribosomal RNA". It matches the Rfam family "Bacterial small subunit ribosomal RNA", at positions 338 to 795 of the family's 1533-position model. The record is from RNAcentral.
CCUACGGGGAGCAGCAGUGAGGAAUAUUGGUCAAUGGACGAGAGUCUGAACCAGCCAAGUAGCGUGAAGGAUGACUGCCCUAUGGGUUGUAAACUUCUUUUAUAAAGGAAUAAAACGAGGCACGUGUGCCUUUUUGCAUGUACUUUAUGAAUAAGGAUCGGCUAACUCCGUGCCAGCAGCCGCGGUAAUACGGAGGAUCCGAGCGUUAUCCGGAUUUAUUGGGUUUAAAGGGAGCGUAGAUGGGUUGUUAAGUCAGUUGUGAAAGUUUGCGGCUCAACCGUAAAAUUGCAAUUGAUACUGGCAGUCGUGAGUACAGUUGAGGUAGGCGGAAUUCGUGGUGUAGCGGUGAAAUGCUUAGAUAUCACGAAGAACCCCGAUUGCGAAGGCAGCUUACUAAACUGUGACUGACAUUGAUGCUCGAAAGUGUGGGUAUCAAACAGGAUUAGAUACCCGGGUAGUC